GAGCCACCGCGCCCAGCAGAAUUUUGGUUUAUUAUACAUGCAGAAAUACCCUUUUGAUGUGGAAUUGUGUUCAGCAAGCCAUAUUGUUUGUGCUACAAGAAUCCAAUUCUGCAGGCUGAGAAUUCCAAGAUCAAGACACCGGCAGAUUUAGUGUUCAGUGAAGACCACUCUCUGCUUUCAAGAUGGCACCUUGAUGCUGUGUCCUCACAUGAUGAAAGGGAAGAAAGGUUAAAGGCACGAAUAGCUCCCUCAAGCCUCUUUUAUAUGAUUAUUAAUCUCAUUUAUGAGGACUCUGCCCUUAUGACAUCCUAAAAGCCCCACCUCUUAAUACUUUAUAUCAGUGAUCAUGUUUCAAUUUAUGAAUUUUAUGGGGACAUAUUCAGACCGUAGCAAUAAGGGUUGGAGAAAUCAUUUAAAUUAAAUAAUAUAUAGAUUGAUAAAAGAAAUACCUUGAAUAUAUGAAUAUUUACUAUACAUUUAUCUUUAAGGCAUUCUCUUUUCU
This 502-nucleotide long non-coding RNA is filed under the name Homo sapiens (human). Its description in RNAcentral is "HSALNT0056292". Lineage: Eukaryota; Metazoa; Chordata; Mammalia; Primates; Hominidae. The record is from RNAcentral.